GGGAGAGGAAGAAGCAGGCUCCCAGCGGAGGAGCCUGACGUGGGGCUCGAUCCCAGAAUGCCGGAAUCACGCCCUGAGCCGAAGGCAGACGCUUAACGAGUGCGCCACCCAGGCGCCCCAAGGUAUCAGACUUCUCAUAAGACUUUAUGUCCAGUUUUCAUUGACUCCAGUAUCUAAUUUCCCCUGGGCUCAUCUAACUUUCAAAGAUUGCUAACCCAUAGGCCAAUAUUUGUUUCCAUGAGUGGCCCACUCAGAAAGCCGCAAGAGGCCAGAACCGACAUGCUGGAUGUCACAACGAUCCUUUCUUGAUGUUCACGGAGCAUGUCUUAGCUUUGAGUAAGUGUCCACCACGAUCUUUCCUUAUGAGACGAGGAGGGGGUAGGUGUGCUUUCCCACUUCACUUAUCAGCCUCAAGCCUUUCUUUGCUCUGGGGCUUUGCUUCCAAUUUCUCUUAGAAACUGGAAAGAAACUAUUAAAGGGGCCCAUGAGAUGCUACUUGGAGAAGUAAACAGGAGGAGAGAGGACAAAGAGGUCCAUUGCCUGCCACGGAUGGGGUCACAGCCUCCUUGGUUCCCCUUGACCUGGAUGGGCACCAAUCCUUUUUUUAAUAUGAUGGUUUGGGAUGAACUGUGCCCCCCCCCAAAAUCAUAUAUGGAAGCCCUAGGCCCCAGUCCCUUAGAAUGUGACUGUAUUUGGAAAUACAGCCUUUAAAGUGGUAAAUACGUUAAAUGCAGUCAUUAGGGUGGGCCCUUAUCCAAUGUGACUACUGUCCCUAUAAGAAAAGUUGACUAGGACACAGAUACGCACAGAGGGAAGACCAUGUAUGGACACUGAGAAAAGACCGCCAUCUACACACUAAGGAGAGAGACCCCAGGGGAAACCAACCCAGCCAACACCUUGAUAUUAAACUUUCAGCAUCCAGGACUGUGAGAAAAUAAAUUUCUAGUUAAACCACCCAGGCCGUGGUCCUUUGUUAGGCCAGCUCCAGCCGGCUAAUGCAUGUGAAUUGUUGAUUUUUUUUUUUUUUUUCCUAUUUGGAAUGUCACGUUCAGUUCACAUCAUUUGAAUACAGAGAACACCUUGCAUUUGGUAUGGGGUGUUCAUGCAGGAUAUUGGAUCUGAUUCUCCCCGUAAUACUGGAGGGCUGGGAUUUUUAUCUCCAAUAUUCAGAGGAGAAGACCAAACCGAAGAGGUUAAAGGAUCAAGGAAGGGGGGUUUGUAACCAUUUCUGUGCCUCAGACCUUCAUUAGCAAUUCAGUGAAUAUUGUUUCUAAACGCAUAAAAUACAUAACAUAGUACAAAAGAUUACAAAGAAAACCGAUUAUGUUAAAAUACAGUUAUCAAAUAUUUUUAAUAAUUCUAAUAUAGUAAAACACGUGCUUCCUUUUCAGUCCUUCCAACAGCAAGCUCUAGAAAUGGCUCUAAUAACUUCUGUCAUUUCAAAAUAGUGAUGAGUAUAAAACAAAUCUGCUUCAACUGUAACCUGCUCUAAAAAUAAAUCAGACUUCUCUUGGUGACAAAUUGGUAACAAAUUAAAGAUACUGUUAAUGCUGCUGUCAUUCACCCAAGAGGAAUACAGAUAUUCAUAGUUGUCUGAAACGCUGAAUUUCAGUUAGUGAUUAGUGAUCCUAAAACGGCAGUUUCUACCGGUGUACGUACACAGACCCCCUGAAAUCUCUCCCUGGGGUCUUCCUGCCCGGGGACAAAGUGUAAGCCGGCAUCCUCACUUCUCUAAGACCCUUCCACCGAGGGACUCAUUCAUGCCACCACCACGGACCCCUCCCAUGGGACCUGGACCGUGAGAUUAAGGUGAGGCGAGUUUAAGGGGACACCAAAACCAUACUCAAGAUAAAUAAUAUUAUAAUGCCCCAUUUUAAAACUCACAAUUAAUGCAAAAAAAAAAAACAAAAACAAAAACCACAACACCCUCCAUGAUGAACAAAACAUCAAAACGUAAAAUAGAGACAGGAUCUGACCCUACCAGGCAUACGGCACCAGGCACUGGGAAGGAGGAACUACCCGGAAAGAUUAAACUCCCUACCUUGAUGGAGCAUCUGUUCCAGAGCAGGAAUUGGCAGAUGACAGCUCCUGUACCUGUGUCCAUACAGCCCACAAGGGAGUGAGAGACACAGUGACGAGGCCCAGCAUGUGUUCUCAGCUCCCACCACCCUGUGACUGGAAGAGAGAAGACAGAGCAGGUAGGAGGGAGCACAAGCAUUGCUCGUGUGUCUCCCACGCACAGGCCCGGGGCCUCCCCAAGCCACCAGAGACAUCAUCACGGUCCCCGGAGCGGGGCCCGCUGGCGCUCAGAAGUCUUUGUGGCCCUUCUCAGCCACAAGGUUAGACCCCUCCGUGCUCCCAGUCCCCAGUCCCCAGCUCCCAGCGGCACUGGCUGCUCACAGACAUUGAGGGGUUUCCAUUUUCCUUCUUUAAGCAGCCCCACGCAGAUGGGGGUGUGUGCAUGUGUGUGCGUGUGUGUGUGUGAGUGUGACAGGCUGUAGGCAACCGAGCAUCCUUGGAGGCCUGAGUUCCUGGUACAUUUUGGUCCAACCGCGUCUUGGCAAGAAUGACCACUGGAUGAGACGACUGUCUUUCCAAUGAAAACGCCCACAAGCUGACAAUGAUACCAAAACCAAGGCCAGGGAUCUUGAAAUCGCCACAGGCAGACCUGGAGCACAUUUCCAAGUGUAGUUAUCUCUUAGAUUUGAUCUCGCCUCUCCUGCGUGGUUUCCCUCUUGUUUAGAAAUUAAACAAAGCAAGAAAUUAUGUGCUAAUUGGCUGCCAGAAAGCCCAAAUUGUCCACAGGCUGUCUGCUUAGCAAAAGCCGUGAUAAGAUUUGGCUCCUGUGAGUCGCUCUUCUGGAACGACGCUGAGCGUCCAUCACGCUUGCCGCACCGUGGACUCCACAGAACAGACAACCUCUCGGGAAUCUGGCGAUGGCCCUGAUCUUCUCUGAGUGGACAACGUGUCGUGGAGCCUGGGACCCAGUUCCCACAGGGAGAUUGAAGGAUAGCCCCGUGUCCUGGGCAUCUUCCUCGCUCCUCCAAGGCCACCUCGUGUGCCGUGCGGAGGACCUCCAGAUGACUUCCCAGUUUCCUCGUGACCCCCUCUGCCUCCGUCAGAGCAGACCCCACACGGGUUUUAUAACACGGCUUCCCUGCGGGCUCUGGGCAGUGAGCAGCGCCCGAGACAGAUAAGCACGGACAGGUCGGGGCUCUGCUCCUCAGCCACGCAGCCUUGAGCAGGUCACGUCCUCCGCGUCUGGCAAGGUCAGAGCACAGUGGCUGUCCUGGGGGUGCUCCCCCAAUUCCCCAGCCACCCAGGGGCUGGAGAAGCGCUGUGCGUCCUGCGCUCUUUCCUGGAGGGCAGGAGAUGGGAAAGCGGGGAGUCCGGCCAGGUAGAGGGCAGGCCCCCCGAGAGCCUGUGCGGGAGACACAGCCUCUUCCCCACGGCUGCUCAGCGCAUGGGCAGGCCGGCCAGCCACCUGGGCGCCACGGCCCCUGGGUCCCCGCAGCAGUCCACACACAGGCCUGUGUCUUGCUCUGUUACUCUCGCUUUGGUGUCCUGCUCCUUGACCAGAGCCCGCGAGCAGGACAGACCCUGGCAAGGCUCAUGAGGCCUGCCCUCCUAGCAGACCAGUCCCUUCCCACGGGAUAAGGGCUCCUGAUUAAGGGAAGUUUAUUCAACCGUGACCGGCAUUCGGAGCUGUCCUGACACCAGUUACAAGUUAGCCGAGGCGCACUCCUCAGCCGUGAAGCACCAAGGCUCGCUGACUCAGGGGAAGGAGUGGGGAAUAGAAGCGGAGGCCGCAGGGCCCCAGGUGUCUGCCCUCGCCGGCCUCGGCCUGGCCUUGGCUCCGAUCUGUGCGGUGGAGCGGUGUGGUUCCGGGAGGAGGAGGCUGGCUGGCAGGCACCUGGCUCCGCGGGGCCAACGUCCCCUGAUCCGGGCCUCAUCUUCCUCCGAGCCAAUGUAAUGAUUUACAGGGAGGAGACGUGCAGCCGGGCGUCUGCUCUGCGCGCCGUUCAGGAAGACAAGUCAACAGCUUCUCUCCCUUCCGCGGAGGGAGGAAAAUUCUGGGGGGUGCACACAUGAGCUCCGAGUGGGGUAGGGGCCACGGACAGGGUCCCACUGAGCCGCCUGGCUGGAUGGGCUGAGGCAGCCUGCCUGCGGGGCUGAGAUGGCUUCCAAGUCGCCCCCCCCCUUUGUCCCCCUCUCCCUCCCUCAGGUCAUCUGCCACUGAGGCCUUUCUGUUUCGCUGGUAACAACUACUUUGCAUCAAACGUGUGCAGUUAUGCAGAGGGAGUGAAGAGCAAUCCCGGACAGGCUAGAACUUCAUUCCCAAGCCAGGAGGGAAGAGGAGACAAGAGAGAGGAUUUGGACAGAAGGGACAAAAGGGGGACAAAGGAAUUCCAAGGCAGCGCGCUGAUAAAUGCCAGAGGCCAGUUUAGACCGGAACGGCUGCUUCACGUCCUUGAACCACUGGUCUGGGGGCACCCAAGAGUCAUUCGUGAUCUGGGACACCUGUGGCCAGGCAGGCCCUGGACCUCGGCUCCGCCCAGCGCACUCCAGGAGCCCCAGUGAGGUCUUUCCAGCUGCCAAGGUGAACGUUCCUGUGUACAAACUCCAGAAGUUGCAUCUACUAAGCUACAGGAAUGGAGUUACAAGCAUGAGGCUGCAUGUUUUAUCUGCCCUGCAGAAUACGUUGGAAACACCAGUUGGAGAAAUAAAUAUAAAAAGCAGGUGAAAUUUUUCUCAAGGUAUGUUUAUACUAAACUCAUUGAAAACCGAAACUUGUAUGAAAAAGAAGACCCAACUUUUCCUGUCAAAUUGCGUUUCCUUGCUGCAUCUGGAUACUUUUAGGAAAUUCACUUCACUUCAUACAAUUGUCACCUUUUAAGCGAUGGCCAUUCCUAAAAUAGCAAUCCAGUGGAUCGUCUGGCAAAAAUAAGCACACUGGAAACAAAAACUCGUCGUCAUGUACAUUGAAUUCUGUUCAAACCAAUAUUUAUUGAGUUCAUUUUAUGAAUCCAUAGGAGAAAAAGCAAAACAGUAAGACACAGCCCUAACUUCCAGAAGCUUAUACUCUAGAAGACAGACUUACCUCUGCCAGAAGGACAAAGGGUAGGAAUGAGUGAGUGUGCAUGUGUGAGAAGGAUAAUUAUCCCAUAAAAAUUCAUCUAUUUUUCUAAAUUUGGAGUUUGCCUAGUGGGCGUUCUAAAAGUUCACAUGCUGUAUUCCUUACUUUUUGAAAUUGCCCUCCUUGUAAUUUCAUUCAGUGAAAUGCAGAAGUACUAAAAUAAAAUUUUUUAAAAACCUUGUUUUUAAAGCCCAUCUUCUGUGACUUUAUGACAUUCAUUAUUUCAGAUAAUUGAGAAAAUUAUGUGCACCAGAACACAGAGGCUGGCAAAUUAAACAUUCCCUAUUUCGGUGCUGUCCUGGAAAAAAAAAAAAUCAAAGUGGCACAAAUAUGUGGUACAGCAUGAAACCUUUCUCUCUGCUGUUUUUACUCCAGCCUGGUUGAAUCUGCUGGCUGAAUCUGCUGGCUGGUGUUCUGGGAGGUUCCGGGAUGGUUUGGUUUAUGUUCACUGUCUACCAGUAAGGACCCACGCCCCACCCUUCCCCAAGAAUGGAAACAGUGAGGAGAUCCUUCCUGGCUGUUGUGUUGGAAGGCGCGGAUUUCAGCACUCACAUCUUUGACCCCUGUGUUGUGGCUGGAGGAGGAGGACAUCCCGAGAUGCUGGGGACCCUCCUGAGAAGCCCAGCAGUUCCGCUAAUGGGGUUUUCGCUUUGCUGAGCUGCCGGAACGAGAGCUACAGGGAGGACACCGUUUCUAUUCUUGGGAGCAGUCUGGUCGAGGCUAAUGCAUUAUUUAGCCUAUUCAUAGAAACUUGUAACAUCUGGGGUGUGUUGUGAUGUACACACUCGAGUCUCUGGGGGCACCAAGAGCUAAGCAUUCCAUAAACAAAUGUGACAGGUGUCAUGCUCCAUGCCUAGCAAAUGGCCACAAUGCUUGCGUAUGUCACAUUGCUGUCAUCUUCCCCAGCACCAAAGGAGGGUGACUCAGCCUUGAGGGACUUGGGGCUGUAGCCAUCCACUCCAAGGAACAGUCUGGCCCAAAUGAUGUCCUUUACCCCACAAGGAAACACCGUCCCCAUUUCUGAAUGUCCGGUUUCCGGCAGACCACAAUGUCCCAGUUACUCAGGCUCCAUGCUUACAACCAUCUGUGACUGCUUCCCACGGACCCCCAGCAGAUCUCAUCCAGCUGCGCACUCUGUCCUUCUGCCUUGGUGGCCAGUCUACCAGCUGCCCUUUCAUUUCAGGACCCACCCCCCACCCCCGGACCUCAUUACUCACAACUGGACUCUUCCAUUUGUCUCUCAAUCGCCUGUGCCCAUGCUCUCCUUGGGCUUUAAUUGCCACGUGUCUUUGUUCUCCGAUCACUCGGUCAUGACCCCCCUGCUUUCUUCACCCACUUCAUCCCCCGUCUGCUUUUCAAGUUGCCCUCCGCUAUUUCCACCUCCUCUAACUAUCUGGAACUAUGAGGGGCUCUCCCAAGUGGUGCUAACGGGCCAUACUCUGCCUUCAAUACCAGCUGAGGUUUCCACUUUUCAUCUUGUUUUCUCUGGCUGAGUUGGAAGGUCCACGAGGCUCCAGCAUCAUCUGCAGUCCCUGUCAUUGGGCAGGGUAACCGUGUUUUCCUUGAUUGAACAACUGUUCCAACAGGAAGAUAUACUUGAUGGGAAUAUAAAAGGAGAGAGCUACUCCACCUGUGAGUUGGACAGAUGGGUCUGCAAGAGUGGGGAAGAGCUUGGCAUGGAGGCAAGGGAAGAGAGGAUGUGUAGAAGAAAGAAGGAACGCCAAAGAGCAAAGUCUCCACACACAAGACCAGAUGAGAGUGCCAAGGGGGUCUGUUUGGCAGGAUGGGAAGAGAGGCAUGAUGGGAAAUUCCUUGGGCGUCAGGGCAGAAGCCAGAUCAUGCUUCCUUGGAUGCAGGCAACCUUGCAGUUGUUGUCUAGGGUCAUUGCCACCUGAGCCGGAGCAGGCUGGAAAUCCGACGGUGGCUGCAGGAGGUUGGAGGAAGGAAAGUGAGGGGGUUCCUUUUCUUUUGCUUCCCUUUCACACGGACCAAUUUUGCUCAUUUCCAAAUAAAUAUUUGACUCUGAACAAACAGCUUCUGCCUUGUCUUGUGUUCUUGCAGCCACGUCUUGCAUCUUGGCUCAAAUCUUCCCUUUGGCCACGAGAUCCACCACCCUGAGUUCUCCGAGCCCCACUUUCUGCCUAGUCUGACUGUUCCUGCAAGGCCUAUGUCAGGUCAGAGGACCGCACAGGACCUCUCCCAGCCACGAGCCUUAUGGGCCGCCCUCCCUGGCCAGGGCCAGCUUGUCUACCUUCGUUCAGAGCUGCUGUUUCCAUUUGGCCUCUGUGUCCUCUGUCCCUGGCCAGCGUGUAGGACUCCCAGAGUGCUGACUCUCCUUUGUGAUAUUCACAGGGCUCUCUCUUCGGUUAUUGACAUAUCAUGACUUAAAGUGACAAUUCAAAAACGAUGUCUGUGGUUUCAGGGAAAAUGGAUAUUGCUCUGAAGAGAAGUGGGAGGGGAGGGGGGAAUAAAUACCCCCAAAGAUGACCGUCUUUGAGUCACAAGAAUCUGGCUACCUUGGGGACACCCCUGUACUAGUUUUGGUCACAGCCUGUGACGUGGGUGGGGAGACACUCACUUACUUUUGUCCUAACCAGGAGAACGUCAACUUUCGCAGCAUGCUGACCACAGUGCAGUGCCUUAGGGUAUACAGUUGGUGCUCAAUAAGUAAAUGCUCAAUGUGUUUCAAAUUAUUAUUUUUCAUCUAAAAUUAUUUUCAUUUAAAAUAAAUUUAGUGAAUUACCGACCCAUGCUGCAACGUGGAUAAACCUCGGAAACAUGCUGAGUGAAAGAAGCCAGAGACAGAAGGUCACAGAUCACAUGAUUUCAUUUCUAUGAAAUGUCCAGAAUAGGUAAAUCAUUAGAGACAGAAAGCAGAUUAAUGGUUGCCUGGGGCUGGAGCAAAGGAGGAAUGGAAUGAGGAGUGACUGUUUAAUGGGUACGAGGUUCCUUUGGGGAUGAUGAACAUCGCCUCUACGUAGAGGUGAAGUUUGUACAACUCUGUGCAUAUA
Molecule: long non-coding RNA, 8148 nt
Organism: Ailuropoda melanoleuca (giant panda)
Lineage: Eukaryota; Metazoa; Chordata; Mammalia; Carnivora; Ursidae
Exons: 3
Source: RefSeq, a predicted model, not a curated record